CCUACGGGCGGCUGCAGUGGGGAAUAUUGCACAAUGGGCGCAAGCCUGAUGCAGCCAUGCCGCGUGUGUGAAGAAGGCCUUCGGGUUGUAAAGCACUUUCAGCGGGGAGGAAGGCGGUGAGGUUAAUAACCUCACCGAUUGACGUUACCCGCAGAAGAAGCACCGGCUAACUCCGUGCCAGCAGCCGCGGUAAUACGGAGGGUGCAAGCGUUAAUCGGAAUUACUGGGCGUAAAGCGCACGCAGGCGGUCUGUCAAGUCGGAUGUGAAAUCCCCGGGCUCAACCUGGGAACUGCAUUCGAAACUGGCAGGCUAGAGUCUUGCAGAGGGGGGUAGAAUUCCAGGUGUAGCGGUGAAAUGCGUAGAGAUCUGGAGGAAUACCGGUGGCGAAGGCGGCCCCCUGGACAAAGACUGACGCUCAGGUGCGAAAGCGUGGGGAGCAAACAGGAUUAGAUACCCCGGUAGUC
Molecule: ribosomal RNA, 465 nt
Filed under: uncultured Klebsiella sp.
Lineage: Bacteria; Pseudomonadati; Pseudomonadota; Gammaproteobacteria; Enterobacterales; Enterobacteriaceae
Description: bacterial SSU rRNA
Rfam family: Bacterial small subunit ribosomal RNA
Source: RNAcentral